RNAcentral lists this ribosomal RNA (274 nucleotides) under uncultured bacterium. RNAcentral describes it as "partial 16S ribosomal RNA". It matches the Rfam family "Bacterial small subunit ribosomal RNA", at positions 523 to 796 of the family's 1533-position model. The record is from RNAcentral.
AUACGGAGGGUGCGGGCGUUGUUCGGAAUUAUUGGGCGUAAAGCGCGUGUAGGCGGCUUGGUAAGUCAGGUGUGAAAGCCCUUAGCUCAACUAAGGAAAGUCAUCUGAAACUGCCAGGCCUGAGUACGGGAGAGGAGAGUGGAAUUCCCGGUGUAGAGGUGAAAUUCGUAGAUAUCGGGAGGAACACCCGUGGCGAAGGCGACUCUCUGGACCGAUACUGACGCUGAGACGCGAAAGCGUGGGGAGCAAACAGGAUUAGAAACCCGGGUAGUCC